GAUGAACGCUGGCGGCGUGCCUAACACAUGCAAGUCGAGCGCGUCUGAUUUGAUGCUUGCAUUAAUGAAAGAUGAGCGGCGGACGGGUGAGUAACGCGUGGGUAACCUGCCCUAUACACAUGGAUAACAUACUGAAAAGUUUACUAAUACAUGAUAAUAUAUAUUUACGGCAUCGUAGAUAUAUCAAAGUGUUAGCGGUAUAGGAUGGACCCGCGUCUGAUUAGCUAGUUGGUGAGAUAACUGCCCACCAAGGCGACGAUCAGUAGCCGACCUGAGAGGGUGAUCGGCCACAUUGGAACUGAGACACGGUCCAAACUCCUACGGGAGGCAGCAGUGGUGAAUAUUGCACUAUGGGCGCAAGCCUGAUGCAGCAACUCCGCGUGAACGAUGAAGGUGUUCUGAUCGUAAAGUUUUGUUGCAGGGGUGGAUAAUGACGGUUCCCUGUGAGGUAGCCCCUUCUUUUACUUGCCAGCAGCCGCGGUAAUUCGUAGUGGGCUAUCGUUAUCCGGAUUACUGGGGGGAUAUGUGGGGUGGGUGUCUUUCAAGUCUUGUGGUUUAGGGUGACUGCUCUUCCUUGAUUUGCAUUGGAAACUGGAAGUUUUGUGGUCAUGAGAGGGAAUUGUAAUGGUGGUGUAGUGGUUAUGUUGCGUUGUUGUGUGGUGGAUCAUCUGUAUCUGGUGGUUUUUCUGAUGGUGUUUUGUGUGUGGUGUGGAUGGGUUGUGUCUGUUUGUGUAUUGU
This 738-nucleotide ribosomal RNA is filed under the name uncultured Streptococcus sp. RNAcentral describes it as "bacterial SSU rRNA". The stretch from base 1 to 506 matches the Rfam family "Bacterial small subunit ribosomal RNA", at positions 28 to 545 of the family's 1533-position model. The record is from RNAcentral. Lineage: Bacteria; Bacillati; Bacillota; Bacilli; Lactobacillales; Streptococcaceae.